RNAcentral lists this ribosomal RNA (1041 nucleotides) under uncultured bacterium. RNAcentral's name for it is "bacterial SSU rRNA". It matches the Rfam family "Bacterial small subunit ribosomal RNA", at positions 102 to 1194 of the family's 1533-position model. The record is from RNAcentral.
ACGGGUGAGUAAUACUUAUCUUACUUGCCAUUUAGUGGGGGAUAAAAUACCGCAUAUUCUGGUUUCGACCAGGAAAGGACUUCGGUUCGCUGAAUGAUGGGGAUAAGGCGUAUUAGCUUGUUGGUGGGGUAAAGGCCUACCAAGGCAAAGAUGCGUAGCCAAACUGAGAGGUUGAAUGGCCACAGGGAAACUGAGACACGGUUCCCACUCCUACGGGAGGCAGCAAUGAGGAAUCGUCGGCAAUGGGGGAAACCCUGACCGCGCGAUGCUACGUGAAGGAUGAAGGUCUACGGAUUGUAAACUUCUUUACUUGGAUGUACUCCUUAAAGCUUGCAUCUGAGCAAAAAGUCACGACUAACUAUGUGCCAGCAGUCGCGGUAAGACAUAGGUGGCGAACGUUAUCCGGAAUUAUUGGGCGUAAAGGAUGCGUAGAUGGUAGAAUAAGUUAUUGGUCGAUGCCAAACUCAAUUUGGUGGAAGCUGAUAAUACUGUUCGGCUAGAGGACAGGAGAGGUUGAUGGAAUUCUGUGUGGAGCGGUGAAAUGCGUUGAUCUACAGAGGAACACCAAAAAAGGCGAAGGCAGUCAACUAUUCUGUUCCUGACAUUGAGGCAUGAAAGCGUGGGGAGCAAACCGGAUUAGAUACCCGGGUAGUCCACGCCCUAAACGAUGAGCAUUAGAUAUUGGGCAUUUUGCUUAGUGUCGCAGCUAACGCUUUAAAUGCUCCGCCUGGGUACUACGGCCGCAAGGCUAAAACUCAAAGGAAUUGACGGGGACUCGCACAAGCAGUGGAGCAUGUGGUUUAAUCCGAUACAACGCGUAGAACCUUACCAAGGCUUGACAUGUUCGGCAAAGUUAUUGAAAGGUAAUGGAGGUUAUCCGGACACAGGUGCUGCAUGGCCGUCGUCAGUUCGUGCCGUGAGGUGUAUGGUUAAGUCCUAUAACGAACGUAACCCUUAGGUUUAGUUGCCAGCAUUCAGUUGGGGACUCUAGACCGACUGCCCGAGUAAUCGGGAGGAAGGAAAGGAUGACGUCUGGUCGUC